GAUGAACGCUGGCGGCGUGCCUAAUACAUGCAAGUCGAGCGAACAGACGAGGAGCUUGCUCCUCUGACGUUAGCGGCGGACGGGUGAGUAACACGUGGAUAACCUACCUAUAAGACUGGGAUAACUUCGGGAAACCGGAGCUAAUACCGGAUAAUAUAUUGAACCGCAGGGUUCAAUAGUGAAAGACGGUUUUGCUGUCACUUAGAGAUGGAUCCGCGCCGCAUUAGCUAGGUGGUAAGGUAACGGCUUACCAAGGCAACGAUGCGUAGCCGACCUGAGAGGGUGAUCGGCCACACUGGAACUGAGACACGGUCCAGACUCCUACGGGAGGCAGCAGUAGGGAAUCUUCCGCAAUGGGCGAAAGCCUGACGGAGCAACGCCGCGUGAGUGAUGAAGGUCUUCGGAUCGUAAAACUCUGUUAUUAGGGAAGAACAAAUGUGUAAGUAACUAUGCACGUCUUGACGGUACCUAAUCAGAAAGCCACGGCUAACUACGUG
RNAcentral lists this ribosomal RNA (497 nucleotides) under uncultured bacterium. RNAcentral describes it as "partial 16S ribosomal RNA". It matches the Rfam family "Bacterial small subunit ribosomal RNA", at positions 28 to 507 of the family's 1533-position model. The record is from RNAcentral.